Molecule: non-coding RNA, 90 nt
Organism: Mycena rosella
Lineage: Eukaryota; Fungi; Basidiomycota; Agaricomycetes; Agaricales; Mycenaceae
Source: the annotation of a GenBank genome assembly
AGCCCCAUGGUGGAGUGGUUAACACACCUGAUUUACUUGCCACCAAUUAUCAGUCCAGCAGGAGGCCUCGUUCGAUCCGGGGUCGGAAUU